RNAcentral lists this ribosomal RNA (483 nucleotides) under beta proteobacterium so02. RNAcentral's name for it is "bacterial SSU rRNA". It matches the Rfam family "Bacterial small subunit ribosomal RNA", at positions 395 to 871 of the family's 1533-position model. The record is from RNAcentral. Lineage: Bacteria; Pseudomonadati; Pseudomonadota; Betaproteobacteria.
UUCCGCGUGUGCGAUGAAGGCCUUCGGGUUGUAAAGCACUUUUGGCAGGAAAGAAAUCGCAUGGAUUAACACUCUAUGUGGAUGACGGUACCUGCAGAAUAAGCACCGGCUAACUACGUGCCAGCAGCCGCGGUAAUACGUAGGGUGCAAGCGUUAAUCGGAAUUACUGGGCGUAAAGCGUGCGCAGGCGGUUCGGAAAGAAAGGUGUGAAAUCCCAGGGCUUAACCUUGGAACUGCACUUUUAACUACCGAGCUAGAGUAUGUCAGAGGGGGGUGGAAUUCCGCGUGUAGCAGUGAAAUGCGUAGAUAUGCGGAGGAACACCGAUGGCGAAGGCAGCCCCCUGGGAUAAUACUGACGCUCAUGCNCGAAAGCGUGGGGAGCAAACAGGAUUAGAUACCCUGGUAGUCCACGCCCUAAACGAUGUCAACUAGCUGUUGGGGCCUUCGGGCCUUAGUAGCGCAGCUAACGCGUGAAGUUGACCG